CUCUAUUGCACCACAGAGCGUGUACAGUAUGGGUAGCAACAGUGCAAGCUUCCCACACUUUGCCCCUCCCAAUGCACCCCAACCCCGGCCAGAAUAGCUCUCUCCACAGAGAG
Molecule: small RNA, 113 nt
Filed under: Chrysemys picta bellii (western painted turtle)
Lineage: Eukaryota; Metazoa; Chordata; Testudines; Emydidae
Description: TUC338 (ENSCPBG00000013748.1)
Source: RNAcentral